Zalophus californianus (California sea lion) is the source of this 104-nucleotide small nuclear RNA. Lineage: Eukaryota; Metazoa; Chordata; Mammalia; Carnivora; Otariidae. The record is from Ensembl.
GUCCUCGCUUAGGCAGCACAUAUACUAAAAUUGGAACAAUACAGAGAUUAGCGUGGCCCCUGCACAAGGAUGACAUGCAAACUCGUGAAGGGGUCCAUAUUUUU